GACGAACGCUGGCGGCGUGCUUAACACAUGCAAGUCGAACGGAAAGGCCCUGCUUUUGUGGGGUGCUCGAGUGGCGAACGGGUGAGUAACACGUGAGUAACCUGCCCUUGACUUUGGGAUAACUUCAGGAAACGGGGGCUACUACCGGAUAGGAGCUCCUGCUGCAUGGUGGGGGUUGGAAAGUUUCGGCGGGUGGGGAUGGACUCGCGGCUUAUCAGCUUGUUGGUGGGGUAGUGGCUUACCAAGGCUUUGACGGGUAGCCGGCCUGAGAGGGUGACCGGCGACAAUGGGACUGAGAUACGGACCAGACGGCUACGGGAGGCAGCAGUGGGGAAUAUUGCACAAUGGGAGGAAGCCUGAGGAAGCAACGCCGGGUGCGGGAUGACGGCCUUCGGGUUGUAAACCGCUUUCGCCUGUGACGAAGCGUGAGUGACGGUAAUGGGUAAAGAAGCACCGGCUAACUACGUG
Molecule: ribosomal RNA, 468 nt
Filed under: uncultured bacterium
Lineage: Bacteria
Description: partial 16S ribosomal RNA
Rfam family: Bacterial small subunit ribosomal RNA
Source: RNAcentral